RNAcentral lists this unclassified non-coding RNA (384 nucleotides) under Hevea brasiliensis (rubber tree). Lineage: Eukaryota; Viridiplantae; Streptophyta; Magnoliopsida; Malpighiales; Euphorbiaceae. The record is from RNAcentral.
AAAAAAAAAAAAAAAAAAAUCAGGUUGAUGUUUCCAUACUAUUUCCUUUUCAUGUACAAAGCAAAUCGAAUAAUUAAGCAAACAAUGGUAUUUACUCACAAUAAUUAUUUCCAAGAAAAAGUGAUAAUGCACGCAGCAAUCACAAUAACAGAUCAAUGAAGACCAAAUUCAAAAACAGAGAGACAAAUACAUUAACUAAAUCAACUGAUGACAGUUCAAACCAAUGCCAAUUCCAUCAACAACCGAAAACUAUGCCUAAAUCUACGAACCAUCACACAAACAAAUCGAAAUAGAACAGGGUAAUUUGAUCACCCAAAAAAAAAAAGCAGAAAUGGAAAUUAAACCUCAAAUGAAAUAAUGCGAAAAAAAAAAAAGUGAUUAUCA